RNAcentral lists this long non-coding RNA (490 nucleotides) under Homo sapiens (human). Its description in RNAcentral is "non-protein coding lnc-MYLK4-28:1". The record is from RNAcentral. Lineage: Eukaryota; Metazoa; Chordata; Mammalia; Primates; Hominidae.
UACUCGCCCCUGAGGCUGCCCUGACUGCGCCUUAAGAAUGAUAUCCCAUCGCAGUGUCUUUGCGCAUUUUCCUAACUAUCUCCUCCUGCCUGCACUUCGAGUAUGUCUAAGAUUCUUCUUCUGCACUCUGAGUUCUGACUCUUUAUAUAGCGUAACUGUGAAAACUAUUGUUAUUGUUAUGCUAGAGCUUUGGAAUUUAUAGAGAGUUUUAUCUGUCUUGCCCUUUGAAAUUUUACCUUUUAUUUCAGUAAUAUUAAAUUAUCAAACUUGUUUUAUCAUUCUCAUAGCUCAUUUUCUUUCCUACUGGUUUUUGUGUUUUUGUGUUGAUGUUUGUAUAUUUGACAUUUAGAUUUCUCAUUAGUUUACUCACUGUCUUCAUUCACUCAGCAAAUACUGUGCCAAGGCGUGCUUCCGGCAUGGGAGACACUGCGGAGAACAAGAUGAAACCCAGCUCUCAUGGAGCUUACCUUUUAAUUGGGGAGAUAGAUCA